This 400-nucleotide ribosomal RNA is filed under the name Psychosaura macrorhyncha. RNAcentral describes it as "partial 12S ribosomal RNA". It matches the Rfam family "Bacterial small subunit ribosomal RNA", at positions 787 to 1391 of the family's 1533-position model. Lineage: Eukaryota; Metazoa; Chordata; Lepidosauria; Squamata; Scincidae. The record is from RNAcentral.
CCACUAUGCUUAGCCCUUAACAUAGACAAUAAAAACACAAUAUUGUCCGCCAGAGAACUACAAGUGAAAAACUAGAAACUCCAAGGACUUGGCGGUGCCCCACAUCAACCUAGAGGAGCCUGUCCUAUAAUCGAUAAUCCACGCUGCACCUUACCAUUUCUAGNCAAUUCAGCCUAUAUACCGCCGUCGAAAGCCUACCUUAUGAAAGAAUCAAAGUAGGCAAAAUAGUCAACAACUAAAACGUCAGGUCAAGGUGUAGCACAUGAAAUGGAAGAGAUGGGCUACAUUUUCUACCUUAGAAAACACGAACAGCACAAUGAAACCUGUACUCAAAGGCGGAUUUAGCAGUAAGACAAAAAAGAAACUUUAUCUUAAACACGCUCUGGGACGCGCACACACC